Molecule: ribosomal RNA, 427 nt
Filed under: uncultured Actinomycetes bacterium
Lineage: Bacteria; Bacillati; Actinomycetota; Actinomycetes
Description: bacterial SSU rRNA
Rfam family: Bacterial small subunit ribosomal RNA
Source: RNAcentral
AACGCGAAGAACCUUACCUGGGUUUGACAUGCGCAGGACGCGUCUAGAGAUAGGCGUUCCCUUGUGGCCUGUGUGCAGGUGGUGCAUGGCUGUCGUCAGCUCGUGUCGUGAGAUGUUGGGUUAAGUCCCGCAACGAGCGCAACCCUUGUCUCAUGUUGCCAGCACGUAAUGGUGGGGACUCGUGAGAGACUGCCGGGGUCAACUCGGAGGAAGGUGGGGAUGACGUCAAGUCAUCAUGCCCCUUAUGUCCAGGGCUUCACACAUGCUACAAUGGCCGGUACAAAGGGCUGCGAUGCCGUGAGGCUUAGCGAAUCCUUUAAAGCCGGUCUCAGUUCGGAUCGGGGUCUGCAACUCGACCCCGUGAAGUCGGAGUCGCUAGUAAUCGCAGAUCAGCAACGCUGCGGUGAAUACGUUCCCGGGCCUUGUA